UCUCCGUAGGUGAACCUGCGGAGGGAUCAUUACUGAGUGAGGGCUCCGGCCCGACCUCCAACCCCAUGUGAACCGAAACCUGUUGCUUCGGGGGCGACCCUGCCUUUCGGCGCGGCGCCCCCGGUGGCCAAUUAUUAAACUCUGCAUCUCUUGCGUCGGAGUCUUAAAGAAAUUUAAACAAAACUUUCAACAACGGAUCUCUUGGUUCUGGCAUCGAUGAAGAACGCAGC
Molecule: unclassified non-coding RNA, 230 nt
Filed under: uncultured fungus
Lineage: Eukaryota; Fungi
Description: sequence contains ITS1, 5.8S rRNA gene
Rfam family: 5.8S ribosomal RNA (bases 182-230)
Source: RNAcentral